UCUGGAUGGCUUGAACUAAGUGACCUGAUUCUUCCAGAUUUAGGCAAGGAGGCACCCUCUCCUCACGGCCGCACAGACUCAGGCUCAGGGCUGCCCACCCUGUCCAGUUAGCAGCGCCCUGUCUCCCAUCCCUAGGUCCAGCCUAGCGUAAUUUUUGCCACAGAGCAGAUGUUCAAGAAAUAGCAGCUGAAUGGAUGGUAGUUUCCUGAAUUAGGAAAAAUCGUGCCCUAUUUUUUCCCAAGUUACCACUACAUUAUCUUUGAGGGGGCUGGCAAGAUGGCUUAGUGGGUAAAGGCUCUUGCUGCCAAGCCUGAAGACCUGUGCUUGAUUCCUGGAAGUCACAACAUGGAAGAUUUUCAAGAUUAAACUUACUGCAUUGCCCAGAAGUAAAGCUGUGCUUCGUGGGCACAGGCAAGGCUGCUGGCCUCUACUGCUGUGGAUCUGUGCACACAAUGUGUUCUAAGCAAGUUUCUCAUAGCUUUGUGGCUCAAGCAGACCUGUGUCCUGAUCACCCCCUAGUAACCUCACUAUUGUGGAAGAGUUCCCUGGCUUAAAUAGUGUGAUAUGGUGGAACCCCAUAUCUCCACACCAGACAGGACUGAGACGCUGAGCCUGGAACUGCACUAAGCCUUGGGAGAAAAGGACUCAUCUAGGGUAAGUACAAGUGCACAUCGUCCAGGAAAGCCUGACCUUGAAUCCCCAGAGGCUCCUACCUUGCAGUAGCUGUGUACCUAGGUUUCUGGCCCAAGCCUUCAGCUACACAGCAUUAGUAUGGAAGGGGAGGCCUACAGAUUGUCCUGUCUCUCAGCGUUCUUAAGAUCACAAGGUAGGUAUGGGUGUGCACAGUGUCUGUCUGGCACUCUGAUGAGGUAGGUCGAAUGCCACAUGGGUUUGUGGAUUGUUAUUGAACCACAGGGAGUGUGAAAAACCCCAUGUUCUCGCACAAAAAGAAAACCCUGCAUAGGCAUCAUUUGAAGGACAUUUUUAUUGUUGAAAUGGAUAAGGCCACAUACUAGGACAACUAGAACAUAGUUUUGUACAUUGAGGUUAUUGAACAGAGUCCAGAGUCUGUGGUGAGGGGAGGCUACUUGCUUGGAGAUGCAAUUCCAGACAUGAGAGGAGUGUUCAAUGUUGCCACCAUUUGGGGUGAACACUACAGGUUCCACUCAUCUACCUAGUUCAUUCUAGUGAAGAACAGAUUGGUCUACUGUAAAUCUUUUACUCCUGAGGGUCCAUCAUGUAGUUAUCUGGAAGGAUCUGGGCAGUCUGAGCAGGGAGGUGGCUUCUUCUUGCUGGGUGGUGGCUCACUCCCCAUGACUGUCUUCUGAAGUGGAGGAGACCUGAAUGCCCUCAUAGAGGACAGUGCAUGGGGGUGAGAGUGGGCACCAUCCUCUUUCUCCUGAGAGACAGGGGUCUCAGGAGGAGAUGUUUGCUGCUCAAUAGCCAGAUCCGGGACCACUCUCAAGAAACUGGACGACCACCAAUCUCCAUGGAGUCUGGUGAAGAUCAUCCUCAGAGAGAGGACACAAACUACAGAAUGGCUUUCAACACCAAACAGUUGAUUCUUUGAACCUGCAAUGGUCAAGAAUCCGUGAGAGAGGCAAGGGUGAUGAUAGUGAGCCCUCUCUCAGCCAGAGGACCACUCCUGUGGAAUAGGAGCUCACCUACUUCCCAGUCUCUCCCUGUAGGUCCCCUAGCCUGCCUCUCUGCCCUGGUCAGGGUCACAGAUCAAUGGGACAAAUGGAAGAGGGACAGGGCUGGAGACCACACAUGACCCCCAGAUAUCAGCAUAACUGACUGCAAUGGAAACACCAAUUCAGGCCACAGCACUCAGCCAACUGACGCUACCGGGUGACCAAAUAGAGACAAAUAAAAUGUAAAUGAAAAAAAACCAAUCAAUCCAAACAAAGGUACAGAUGAAUUGUAAACCACUAUGAGAUGCACCAAUAAAGUAUAAGCCAAGAUUUAAUCCUUCCAAGUCCAUAGUUCCGGGACGGCCGGUAAAUGGACUCCACUUGCCCUUGCUUAGGACUUACUGCUUUCUGUGAAAUGAAGUAUGUCAAGCCAGAAUGUGGUGUCUGUGCUUCAAAGCUCACCCUGAGAUAGGCUCAGUGAUCCACCGUAAUAGAGACCACACAGCACAUACCCUGCCAGGCUGCUAAUAAUACCAUUCUCCUUGCUUAAAGGCAGGUCUGAACAGUCUUCCCUGAUGCAUAACCCAGAGCACAAAGAUUCUGACCCAAAGCCCAAAGUCAUGUCUCACCCAGCCCCAGUGGCUGCUGACACAUAUAAAAGUCCACUUACCCUAGGGUUCUCCUCCUCCGGUGGGGGAACCUUCAGAGCCAUGGGCCCUGUGGGAUUCCUCUGGGCUCUUUGGGCUGGAGUGGCUCUUGGGCCCCGAAUCAGCAUGUGUGUCUCCUGACUCAUGGCUGAGUGUGAGUCAAUCACCCGCAGGUGUUGUCGGCCUGGAUUGGCUGAAUGGAAGCAAAGAACAGAGCUUUAACCAAUGAAAUGAAACUUCACGACAUCACAAAAGUAUGGGGCUGCUAGUGGCCAUCACACAAUGAUCCCCUUUCUGUGUUUUGACCUCCCAAGCACAUUCAAAUAGGUGGGGAUGUCAGUCCUGGAAGUUGAAACAUUCUUGGCCCAUUUCCCUCCCAGGACGAUUAAUGCCGUCCAAAGCAGUUCAAGAUCGCCAUUCAACAGAUAGAGUGACACCUGACACACCAAAAUCCCUAUGGUAAACCCUACACGCACCCCAUCACACUCCUCUGUUCCUUAGCAAUCACCUCAGGAAAAAUAUGGUAAGGACUCCCACCAGAGAGCUUGCUGUCCUCCCUUGGUCUAUGCAGCAGGUUCUGUGAAUUGUGCUCACUCCAGGCAGGAGCUGCUUUCAGGAGGCUGGCUCAAGUGGGACUGGAGCCGCAAUGGUUCUGCGGUUUCUUAUAAGGUCUGUGAAGUCUUGCAAUCCAAUCCCGAGAUCUCAUUGGGAGGAAAUCCGGAAUGUGAGGAAUGAAGGAGGACACACCCUUUAAUCCGCAACUCCACUGGGAAAGCCCCUCUUCUAAACUGGGCCUGAAUCUUUCAUGGCUUUGUUAGUGAGAGGCUCUGUGAGGCUGCAGGACCAUGGACAGGGCCCCAAAGGGCAAAUUCCACUUCCAACCCAGCAGCACCUUGAAGCCAGGGCUCAAGGCAUCUACAGGAAAGUAUUUCAACACAGUGAAGCCGUACACCGUGUGGAUGGCCAACCCAUCCAUGUUUUUGGAUGGCUGUGCUUUACACAGACAUGUCUAGACAUUCCACCUUCUAUGCAUGGAGAGAAGGUGGAAAUCUGUCUGGCCAGCCCGUGCACAACAAACCUUCAUUGUGGCCACCUUGACAUCUAAUUCUUGGGAUCUAAUCCAAAUAGGUAAGCAUGGAGAUACUUCUCAAUCUCCAAA
Peromyscus maniculatus bairdii (prairie deer mouse) is the source of this 3440-nucleotide long non-coding RNA. RefSeq lists it as uncharacterized. The record is from RefSeq and is a predicted model, not a curated record. Lineage: Eukaryota; Metazoa; Chordata; Mammalia; Rodentia; Cricetidae.